CUCAGAUUGAACGCUGGCGGCAGGCCUAACACAUGCAAGUCGAGCGGUAGCACAGAGAGCUUGCUCUCGGGUGACGAGCGGCGGACGGGUGAGUAAUGUCUGGGAAACUGCCUGAUGGAGGGGGAUAACUACUGGAAACGGUAGCUAAUACCGCAUAACGUCGCAAGACCAAAGUGGGGGACCUUCGGGCCUCAUGCCAUCAGAUGUGCCCAGAUGGGAUUAGCUAGUAGGUGGGGUAACGGCUCACCUAGGCGACGAUCCCUAGCUGGUCUGAGAGGAUGACCAGCCACACUGGAACUGAGACACGGUCCAGACUCCUACGGGAGGCAGCAGUGGGGAAUAUUGCACAAUGGGCGCAAGCCUGAUGCAGCCAUGCCGCGUGUGUGAAGAAGGCCUUCGGGUUGUAAAGCACUUUCAGCGGGGAGGAAGGCGNUAAGGUUAAUAACCUUGUCGAUUGACGUUACCCGCAGAAGAAGCACCGGCUAACUCCGUGCCAGCAGCCGCGGUAAUACGGAGGGUGCAAGCGUUAAUCGGAAUUACUGGGCGUAAAGCGCACGCAGGCGGUCUGUCAAGUCGGAUGUGAAAUCCCCGGGCUCAACCUGGGAACUGCAUUCGAAACUGGCAGGCUAGAGUCUUGUAGAGGGGGGUAGAAUUCCAGGUGUAGCGGUGAAAUGCGUAGAGAUCUGGAGGAAUACCGGUGGCGAAGGCGGCCCCCUGGACAAAGACUGACGCUCAGGUGCGAAAGCGUGGGGAGCAAACAGGAUUAGAUACCCUGGUAGUCCACGCCGUAAACGAUGUCGAUUUGGAGGUUGUGCCCUUGAGGCGUGGCUUCCGGAGCUAACGCGUUAAAUCGACCGCCUGGGGAGUACGGCCGCAAGGUUAAAACUCAAAUGAAUUGACGGGGGCCCGCACAAGCGGUGGAGCAUGUGGUUUAAUUCGAUGCAACGCGAAGAACCUUACCUGGUCUUGACAUCCACAGAACUUUCCAGAGAUGGAUUGGUGCCUUCGGGAACUGUGAGACAGGUGCUGCAUGGCUGUCGUCAGCUCGUGUUGUGAAAUGUUGGGUUAAGUCCCGCAACGAGCGCAACCCUUAUCCUUUGUUGCCAGCGGUUCGGCCGGGAACUCAAAGGAGACUGCCAGUGAUAAACUGGAGGAAGGUGGGGAUGACGUCAAGUCAUCAUGGCCCUUACGACCAGGGCUACACACGUGCUACAAUGGCAUAUACAAAGAGAAGCGACCUCGCGAGAGCAAGCGGACCUCAUAAAGUAUGUCGUAGUCCGGAUUGGAGUCUGCAACUCGACUCCAUGAAGUCGGAAUCGCUAGUAAUCGUAGAUCAGAAUGCUACGGUGAAUACGUUCCCGGGCCUUGUACACACCGCCCGUCACACCAUGGGAGUGGGUUGCAAAAGAAGUAGGUAGCUUAACCUUCGGGAGGGCGCUUACCACUUUGUGAUUCAUGACUGG
RNAcentral lists this ribosomal RNA (1463 nucleotides) under Klebsiella quasipneumoniae. RNAcentral's name for it is "bacterial SSU rRNA". It matches the Rfam family "Bacterial small subunit ribosomal RNA". Lineage: Bacteria; Pseudomonadati; Pseudomonadota; Gammaproteobacteria; Enterobacterales; Enterobacteriaceae. The record is from RNAcentral.